RNAcentral lists this ribosomal RNA (448 nucleotides) under uncultured bacterium. RNAcentral's name for it is "bacterial SSU rRNA". It matches the Rfam family "Bacterial small subunit ribosomal RNA", at positions 8 to 458 of the family's 1533-position model. The record is from RNAcentral.
AGAGUUUGAUCCUGGCUCAGAGUGAACGCUGGCGGCAUGCCUAACACAUGCAAGUCGAACGGUAACAGGCCCGCAAGGGUGCUGACGAGUGGCGGACGGGUGAGGAAUACAUCGGAAUCUGCCCGGUUGUGGGGGAUAACGUAGGGAAACUUACGCUAAUACCGCAUACGACCGAGAGGUGAAAGCGGGGGAUCGCAAGACCUCGCGCGAUCGGAUGAGCCGAUGUCGGAUUAGCUAGUUGGCGGGGUAAAGGCCCACCAAGGCGACGAUCCGUAGCUGGUCUGAGAGGAUGAUCAGCCACACUGGAACUGAGACACGGUCCAGACUCCUACGGGAGGCAGCAGUGGGGAAUUUUUCGCAAUGGGGGCAACCCUGACGAAGCAACGCCGCGUGGGUGAUGAAGUAUUUCGGUACGUAAAACCCUUUCGACGGGGACGAAACCGCAAGG